GAUGAAAUUGAAUAAACUCGCUCAAUGUUUUUGUUUGAUAUCUUUGCGAAAUAAAAUUAAUGGUUUACACACAAACUUCCGUGUUUCGUGAAUUAUUUCGAGGAUUUUAGACGAAAAUAAUUUUAAUUAGAUUUUUUACGCAUUGGGAUGCAUUCAAUAUCCUCUUUUGUGGCUUGUGUAUUGAUGUUUUCAUACUUAACACACGGACAAAGCUACACAUAUUAUACAGUCUACUCUCGUUAUCUUGACAUCACACAUCUCGAUUUUCUCGAUACGUCGAGGUUAUCUCAUGUGCAGCAACUCCUCCAUGAAUUGGACAGACGCAUUGAUUUCCUGUCACGAUGCAGGUGGUUUGCCUUUAACUAAAGAAACACCCGUACUGGAACGAUUUCAACUUUCAAAUACCUCGUUUUGGACAGCAGACUAUAUUGCGAAAGACUACGUUCAAGAUAAUUAUGCUGGUGGUCAACUGAUUGUGUGUUCCUUCAAGAUAUUAAGCCUAUCGGCUGGUUGGAGCGGUGAACUCAAAAACAAUUGCUUCUUCAACCGUAAAUACAGCUGCUGUGAUAAACCCGAUACGUGUGACAAUUCGACAUGUGUAAAAACAGGACAAUGGCUUGAUGCUAUAUCUUGUAAUACUUCUAACACAGAGGCGUGUUUGAAGAACGCGACAAAAUUUUUAACACCCGGAGAUUAUUGGAUAAGAAAGGCGCUGGCUCUCUUGAACCGAACGUAUAACGGUGAACAAAGUCUUCGACCAAGUAAAUGCGGUAGUUUUAAAGAUGGCGUAUACAGUGUCGGAAUAUUCAACUGCACAGACAAACUGAUAUAAGCUUGUUACUUUAAUUCUACCAGUGAAGAAAGCAAAGUAUCAGCUCAAUACACACAUUGCGAUUUAAUGCUGCCAAAUCCGCCAAAUAUUCGUCAUGGGCUACACCAGGAAUCCCCUCUAGGAAUCGGCCUCGGAGUCGGGAUUGGCGUUCUUGUUUUAGUUAUUCUAAUCUUAGCAGUCAUUAUAUACUUAAG
Molecule: long non-coding RNA, 1026 nt
Organism: Dreissena polymorpha
Lineage: Eukaryota; Metazoa; Mollusca; Bivalvia; Myida; Dreissenidae
Exons: 9
Source: RefSeq, a predicted model, not a curated record